UGAGGAACAUGACCUUCGGCGGGGGAUAGCCGGCCCAACGGCCGGGUAAUACCGCGUACGACCACAUGGGGACAUCCCCGAGUGGUGAAAGCAGCAAUGCGCCGAUGGAGUGCCUCGCGGCCUAUCAGCUAGUUGGUGAGGUAACGGCUCACCAAGGCGACGACGGGUAGCUGGUCUGAGAGGAUGGCCAGCCACAGUUGGGACUGAGACACGGCCCAGACUCCGUAGGGACGG
RNAcentral lists this ribosomal RNA (234 nucleotides) under uncultured bacterium. RNAcentral's name for it is "partial 16S ribosomal RNA". It matches the Rfam family "Bacterial small subunit ribosomal RNA", at positions 118 to 348 of the family's 1533-position model. The record is from RNAcentral.